This 488-nucleotide ribosomal RNA is filed under the name uncultured bacterium. RNAcentral describes it as "partial 16S ribosomal RNA". It matches the Rfam family "Bacterial small subunit ribosomal RNA", at positions 28 to 507 of the family's 1533-position model. The record is from RNAcentral.
GAUGAACGCUAGCGGCAGGCCUAAUACAUGCAAGUCGGACGGGAUCCAUUGAUAGCUUGCUCUCAAUGGUGAGAGUGGCGCACGGGUGCGUAACGCGUGAGCAACCUGCCUCCAUCAGGGGGAUAGCCUCUCGAAAGAGAGAUUAACACCGCAUAAUAUCAACAGUUCGCAUGUUCAGUUGAUUAAAUAUUUAUAGGAUGGAGAUGGGCUCGCGUGACAUUAGCUAGUUGGUAGGGUAACGGCUUACCAAGGCGACGAUGUCUAGGGGCUCUGAGAGGAGAAUCCCCCACACUGGUACUGAGACACGGACCAGACUGCUACGGGAGGCAGCAGUAAGGAAUAUUGGUCAAUGGGCGGAAGCCUGAACCAGCCAUGCCGCGUGCAGGAUGACUGCCCUAUGGGUUGUAAACUGCUUUUGUCCAGGAAUAAACCUAAAUACGAGGAUUUAGCUGAAUGUACUGGAAGAAUAAGGAUCGGCUAACUCCGUG